GGUUUGGGACUUGCUUCGUUCUUCCGUUCGGUCUCUCCUUUCGGAGACGUCGUCGGAUCGUUCGGUGUGUCCCUACUGGUGAUGGGACGACGCAUGAGUGGCGAUCGAGAUAUGUUUCCUUGCAGGCUCCAUGCUUUUGGUAUCGAACUGCAUUGGCUUAUCUUCUUCAUUAUUGAGCUUGCGCUGUCGCUUCUAGCGUCGGUUGCGAUCGUUCGUUGGGUUCCUGCGUUUCAUAUCGAAUUCGACAUUUGGAUGGACUUCUGGUCCCGUCUCGGUUGAUGGAUCCCCGCUCGCCUCGUGCGUUAUCGGUGGUAAUUUUUUUGGCAUCGACGUUUGCCUUACGAGCCGCAGUGAGUAAUGUCACGACGUGUUCGUGAUGGAACGUCGAUGCAUUCGGCUCUCUCGGGUGCAAAGAAUUUCUGGUCAUCGCAUCGGUCCAAGACCCUUGUGAGCGUAACGUUUUAAAAGCGUUGUUGCUUAUGCUUUUACGACCCUCGUUCUCGUCCAGGAGCUCACUGAGCUUGUUCGUUCUGUGUUGUAACUGGAGAGCCAUCGAGGUCGAGGACGGAAUCUACCUGGUUGAU
RNAcentral lists this unclassified non-coding RNA (584 nucleotides) under Sonerila cantonensis. Its description in RNAcentral is "partial contains external transcribed spacer and small subunit ribosomal RNA". Lineage: Eukaryota; Viridiplantae; Streptophyta; Magnoliopsida; Myrtales; Melastomataceae. The record is from RNAcentral.